RNAcentral lists this long non-coding RNA (231 nucleotides) under Oryza sativa aus subgroup. RNAcentral describes it as "lncRNA OsNaBo_08g0016650". Lineage: Eukaryota; Viridiplantae; Streptophyta; Magnoliopsida; Poales; Poaceae. The record is from RNAcentral.
GUCAUACAAAAGGACAAAGAAUGCAAAAGUUCUAAGGAAAUAGAAGGAAAAAAUAUAGGUGGCAUACAAAGGAGAACAAAGCAAGAGUUCUAUGGAAAUAGAAGAAAAAGAAUCAGAUAUAAAAAGCACUUCAAAGCUCUGACAGAAAUGGAUACAGAGAUUAUAAGUCAAUCAAAUCUGACAGAAAACACAGCUAUGUUUAGCUCAGGUAAGAAACAAAAAAUUAUGUAG